GGAGAGAUGCUCGAGUGGUUGAAGAGGCACGCCUGGAAAGCGUGUAUGCUCCUAAAGGGCAUCCGGGGUUCGAAUCCCCGUCUCUCCG
This 88-nucleotide transfer RNA is filed under the name Bacteroides helcogenes. RNAcentral's name for it is "tRNA-Ser". It matches the Rfam family "tRNA". From Rfam's summary of the family: Transfer RNA (tRNA) molecules are approximately 80 nucleotides in length. RNAcentral also lists the same sequence under 1 other name. The record is from RNAcentral. Lineage: Bacteria; Pseudomonadati; Bacteroidota; Bacteroidia; Bacteroidales; Bacteroidaceae.